AUACGUAGGUGGCAAGCGUUGUCCGGAUUUACUGGGUGUAAAGGGCGUGUAGCCGGGUCUGCAAGUCAGAUGUGAAAUCCAUGGGCUUAACCCAUGAACUGCAUUUGAAACUGUGGAUCUUGAGUGCUGGAGGGGCAAUCGGAAUUCCUAGUGUAGCGGUGAAAUGCGUAGAUAUUAGGAGGAACACCAGUGGCGAAGGCGGAUUGCUGGACAGUAACUGACGGUGAGGCGCGAAAGUGUGGGGAGC
This 247-nucleotide ribosomal RNA is filed under the name uncultured bacterium. RNAcentral describes it as "partial 16S ribosomal RNA". It matches the Rfam family "Bacterial small subunit ribosomal RNA", at positions 523 to 769 of the family's 1533-position model. The record is from RNAcentral.